Small nuclear RNA from Suncus etruscus (white-toothed pygmy shrew), 105 nucleotides. Lineage: Eukaryota; Metazoa; Chordata; Mammalia; Eulipotyphla; Soricidae. The record is from RefSeq and is a predicted model, not a curated record.
GUACUCGCUUUGGCAGCACAUAUCCAAAAUUGGAACGAUAUAGGGAAGAUUAGCAUGGCCCUUGCGCAAGGAUGACACACAAUUCAUAAAGUGUUCCAUAUUAAA